GGGUUGUGAGGUUAAGCGACUAAGCGUACACGGUGGAUGCCUAGGCAGUCAGAGGCGAUGAAGGGCGUGCUAAUCUGCGAAAAGCGUCGGUAAGGUGAUAUGAACCGUUAUAACCGACGAUACCCGAAUGGGGAAACCCAGUGCAAUUCGUUGCACUAUUGCAUGGUGAAUACAUAGCCAUGCAAGGCGAACCGGGGGAACUGAAACAUCUAAGUACCCCGAGGAAAAGAAAUCAACCGAGAUUCCCCCAGUAGCGGCGAGCGAACGGGGAGGAGCCCAGAGUCUGAAUCAGUUUGUGUGUUAGUGGAAGCGUCUGGAAAGUCGCACGGUACAGGGUGAUAGUCCCGUACACAAAAAUACACUUGCUGUGAACUCGAUGAGUAGGGCGGGACACGUGACAUCCUGUCUGAAUAUGGGGGGACCAUCCUCCAAGGCUAAAUACUCCUGACUGACCGAUAGUGAACCAGUACCGUGAGGGAAAGGCGAAAAGAACCCCGGCGAGGGGAGUGAAAUAGAACCUGAAACCGUGUACGUACAAGCAGUGGGAGCACCUUCGUGGUGUGACUGCGUACCUUUUGUAUAAUGGGUCAGCGACUUAUAUUUUGUAGCAAGGUUAACCGAAUAGGGGAGCCGUAGGGAAACCGAGUCUUAACUGGGCGUCUAGUUGCAAGGUAUAGACCCGAAACCCGGUGAUCUAGCCAUGGGCAGGUUGAAGGUUGGGUAACACUAACUGGAGGACCGAACCGACUAAUGUUGAAAAAUUAGCGGAUGACUUGUGGCUGGGGGUGAAAGGCCAAUCAAACCGGGAGAUAGCUGGUUCUCCCCGAAAGCUAUUUAGGUAGCGCCUCGUGAACUCAUCUUCGGGGGUAGAGCACUGUUUCGGCUAGGGGGCCAUCCCGGCUUACCAAACCGAUGCAAACUCCGAAUACCGAAGAAUGUUAUCACGGGAGACACACGGCGGGUGCUAACGUCCGUCGUGAAGAGGGAAACAACCCAGACCGCCAGCUAAGGUCCCAAAGUCAUGGUUAAGUGGGAAACGAUGUGGGAAGGCAUAGACAGCCAGGAUGUUGGCUUAGAAGCAGCCAUCAUUUAAAGAAAGCGUAAUAGCUCACUGGUCGAGUCGGCCUGCGCGGAAGAUGUAACGGGGCUAAACCAUGCACCGAAGCUGCGGCAGCGACGCUUAGGCGUUGUUGGGUAGGGGAGCGUUCUGUAAGCCGUUGAAGGUGAACUGUGAGGUUUGCUGGAGGUAUCAGAAGUGCGAAUGCUGACAUAAGUAACGAUAAUGCGGGUGAAAAGCCCGCACGCCGGAAGACCAAGGGUUCCUGUCCAACGUUAAUCGGGGCAGGGUGAGUCGACCCCUAAGGCGAGGCUGAAAAGCGUAGUCGAUGGGAAACAGGUUAAUAUUCCUGUACUUGGUGUUACUGCGAAGGGGGGACGGAGAAGGCUAGGCUAGCCGGGCGACGGUUGUCCCGGUUUAAGCAUGUAGGCGGAGUGACUUGGUAAAUCCGGUUGCUUAUCAACGCUGAGGUGUGAUGACGAGCCACUACGGUGGUGAAGUAGUUGAUGCCAAGCUUCCAGGAAAAGCCUCUAAGCAUCAGGUAACAUUAAAUCGUACCCCAAACCGACACAGGUGGUCAGGUAGAGAAUACUCAGGCGCUUGAGAGAACUCGGGUGAAGGAACUAGGCAAAAUGGUGCCGUAACUUCGGGAGAAGGCACGCUGGCAUUAGGUAAAGAGACUUGCUCUCGGCGCCGAAGCCAGUCGAAGAUACCAGCUGGCUGCAACUGUUUAAUAAAAACACAGCACUGUGCAAACACGAAAGUGGACGUAUACGGUGUGACGCCUGCCCGGUGCUGGAAGGUUAAUUGAUGGGGUCAGCCGCAAGGCGAAGCUCUUGAUCGAAGCCCCAGUAAACGGCGGCCGUAACUAUAACGGUCCUAAGGUAGCGAAAUUCCUUGUCGGGUAAGUUCCGACCUGCACGAAUGGCGUAAUGAUGGCCAGGCUGUCUCCACCCGAGACUCAGUGAAAUUGAACUCGCUGUGAAGAUGCAGUGUACCCGCGGCAAGACGGAAAGACCCCGUGAACCUUUACUAUAGCUUGACACUGAACAUUGAGCCUUGAUGUGUAGGAUAGGUGGGAGGCAUCGAAGCGUGGACGCCAGUCUGCGUGGAGCCAACCUUGAAAUACCACCCUUUAAUGUUUGAUGUUCUAACUCGGCCCCAUAAUCUGGGGUGAGGACAGUGUCUGGUGGGUAGUUUGACUGGGGCGGUCUCCUCCCAAAGAGUAACGGAGGAGCACGAAGGUUAGCUAAUCACGGUCGGACAUCGUGAGGUUAGUGCAAAGGCAUAAGCUAGCUUGACUGCGAGAGUGACGGCUCGAGCAGGUACGAAAGUAGGUCUUAGUGAUCCGGUGGUUCUGAAUGGAAGGGCCAUCGCUCAACGGAUAAAAGGUACUCCGGGGAUAACAGGCUGAUACCGCCCAAGAGUUCAUAUCGACGGCGGUGUUUGGCACCUCGAUGUCGGCUCAUCACAUCCUGGGGCUGAAGUAGGUCCCAAGGGUAUGGCUGUUCGCCAUUUAAAGUGGUACGCGAGCUGGGUUUAGAACGUCGUGAGACAGUUCGGUCCCUAUCUGCCGUGGGCGUUGGAAGAUUGAGAGGGGCUGCUCCUAGUACGAGAGGACCGGAGUGGACGAAUCACUGGUGUUCGGGUUGUCAUGCCAAUGGCAUUGCCCGGUAGCUAAAUUCGGAAGAGAUAACCGCUGAAAGCAUCUAAGCGGGAAACUUGCCUCGAGAUGAGUCUUCCCUGGGGCUUUAAGCCCCCUGAAGGAACGUUAAAGACUAUGACGUUGAUAGGCUGGGUGUGUAAGUGCAGCGAUGCAUUGAGCUAACCAGUACUAAUGAUCCGUGAGGCUUAACCUUACAACACCGAAGGUGUUUUAG
RNAcentral lists this ribosomal RNA (2937 nucleotides) under Yersinia hibernica. RNAcentral's name for it is "23S ribosomal RNA". It matches the Rfam family "Bacterial large subunit ribosomal RNA". Lineage: Bacteria; Pseudomonadati; Pseudomonadota; Gammaproteobacteria; Enterobacterales; Yersiniaceae. The record is from RNAcentral.